ACAGUCACACAUUAGAUACCCGUGUAGUCCUAGCCGUAAACGAUACUCGCUAGGUGUCGGCCACGGUGCGACCGUUGUCGGUGCCGUAGGGAAGCCGUGAAGCGAGCCACCUGGGAAGUACGGCCGCAAGGCUGAAACUUAAAGGAAUUGGCGGGGGAGCACAACAACGGGUGGAGCUUGCGGUUUAAUUGGAUUCAACGCCGGAAAUCUUACCGGGACCGACAGCAACAUGAAGGCCAAGCUGAAGACUUUGCCGGAUUAGCUG
RNAcentral lists this ribosomal RNA (265 nucleotides) under uncultured archaeon. Its description in RNAcentral is "partial 16S ribosomal RNA". It matches the Rfam family "Archaeal small subunit ribosomal RNA", at positions 719 to 982 of the family's 1478-position model. The record is from RNAcentral.